GUUGCUCAUACGUAACUAAAAACAUUUAAUUUAAGCAAGGAUGAGUAUUUGAGUGCCCAGCAAGUAAUAGCAAUUAUAUAUAUAAGCUGAAAGAAUAUAAGUAUUCUCUUUACAUAACACUUCUACAACGAAUCGAAAGUUGUGAAGUAAUCUGUACUGAUAAAAAUUCACAUAACAACUCUCUUCCAAAUUAUUUAAAUUUGGCUCUGGCCCUACCCAUUAAUAGGGUUUAAGAAACAUACUAUGAACAUUGUUUUUCAUUUUUGAAAAGGUUUGGCAGAAAUCCAUCCGCAAACCGUUCUAGCUUACGGGUACGGAGGGUGAUCAGCCCCGUUGUACCCUGUAUUGAUCAAUACUACAUAACUUGAACGAAAUUCAUCGCUCACUCUAUCCGCCUUGGGCGCAAAAAUCUUCCCAUAUAGGGAUGUUCAUACAUGCCUGGUUCCAAACCCGAAGGUUUUUAAUCUUGCUCAACAAUAAUAUGUAAUUCAACAUAUAUGUAUACGGGUAAUUGACAAAGGUAUAUCAACAUGUGAAUAAAUGCCAUGAUUAUCCAAGUGGGGACACUUGUAUAACCAUUUAGAAAUCAACUUAACAGAAUAUAUAUCUGAGCUAACAUGUUGAUAAUCAAAGCGUACAUAAUCUGUACAGGAAUAGAAUAAUUCUGAAACUUCU
This 675-nucleotide long non-coding RNA is filed under the name Panax ginseng (ginseng). Its description in RNAcentral is "long non-coding RNA (PGIN_LNC003363)". The record is from RNAcentral. Lineage: Eukaryota; Viridiplantae; Streptophyta; Magnoliopsida; Apiales; Araliaceae.